This 548-nucleotide ribosomal RNA is filed under the name uncultured Glomeromycotina. RNAcentral's name for it is "SSU rRNA". It matches the Rfam family "Eukaryotic small subunit ribosomal RNA", at positions 548 to 1098 of the family's 1831-position model. The record is from RNAcentral. Lineage: Eukaryota; Fungi; Glomeromycota.
UUGGAGGGCAAGUCUGGUGCCAGCAGCCGCGGUAAUUCCAGCUCCAAUAGCGUAUAUUAAAGUUGUUGCAGUUAAAAAGCUCGUAGUUGAAUUUCGGGAUCAAAUUGUCGGUCGUGCCUCGGUACGAACUGGUAUUAUUGGUUCCUACCUUCUGAAGAACCGCGAUGUCAUUAAUUUGGUGUCGUGGGGAAUCAGGACUGUUACUUUGAAAAAGUUAGAGUGUUUAAAGCAGGCUUACGCUUGAAUACAUUAGCAUGGAAUAAUGAAAUAGGACGUUUGAUUCUAUUUUGUUGGUUUCUAGGAUUGACGUAAUGAUUAAUAGGGAUAGUUGGGGGCAUUAAUAUUCAAUUGUCAGAGGUGAAAUUCUUGGAUUUAUUGAAGACUAACUACUGCGAAAGCAUUUGCCAAGGAUGUUUUCAUUAAUCAAGAACGAAAGUUAGGGGAUCGAAGACGAUCAGAUACCGUCGUAGUCUUAACCAUAAACUAUGCCGACUAGGGAUCGGAUGAUGUUAAUUUUUUAAUGACUCAUUCGGCGCCUUACGGGAAAC